RNAcentral lists this unclassified non-coding RNA (165 nucleotides) under uncultured Clonostachys. RNAcentral's name for it is "sequence contains ITS1". The record is from RNAcentral. Lineage: Eukaryota; Fungi; Ascomycota; Sordariomycetes; Hypocreales; Bionectriaceae.
CAGAGUGUAAAAACUCCCAAAACCCAUGUGAACAUACCUUUUUGUUGCUUCGGCGGGAUCGCCCCGGGCGCCUUGUGUGCCCCGGAGUCAGGCGCCCGCCGGGGGACCCAAACUCUUGUAUUUCUCCUGAUAGCAUGUCUGAGUGUCACACAAACAAAUGAAUCA